This 703-nucleotide ribosomal RNA is filed under the name uncultured Pseudomonadota bacterium. RNAcentral's name for it is "bacterial SSU rRNA". It matches the Rfam family "Bacterial small subunit ribosomal RNA", at positions 46 to 744 of the family's 1533-position model. The record is from RNAcentral. Lineage: Bacteria; Pseudomonadati; Pseudomonadota.
GCCUAACACAUGCAAGUCGAGCGGAUGACGGGAGCUUGCUCCUUGAUUCAGCGGCGGACGGGUGAGUAAUGCCUAGGAAUCUGCCUGGUAGUGGGGGGCAACGUUUCGAAAGGAACGCUAAUACCGCAUACGUCCUACGGGAGAAAGCAGGGGACCUUUGGGCCUUGCGCUAUCAGAUGAGCCUAGGUCGGAUUAGCUAGUUGGUGGGGUAAUGGCUCACCAAGGCGACGAUCCGUAACUGGUCUGAGAGGAUGAUCAGUCACACUGGAACUGAGACACGGUCCAGACUCCUACGGGAGGCAGCAGUGGGGAAUAUUGGACAAUGGGCGAAAGCCUGAUCCAGCCAUGCCGCGUGUGUGAAGAAGGUCUUCGGAUUGUAAAGCACUUUAAGCUGGGAGGAAGGGCAGUAAGUUAAUACCUUGCUGUUUUGACGUUACCGACAGAAUAAGCACCGGCUAACUCUGUGCCAGCAGCCGCGGUAAUACAGAGGGUGCAAGCGUUAAUCGGAAUUACUGGGCGUAAAGCGCGCGUAGGUGGUUUGUUAAGUUGGAUGUGAAAGCCCCGGGCUCAACCUGGGAACUGCAUCCAAAACUGGCAAGCUAGAGUACGGUAGAGGGUGGUGGAAUUUCCUGUGUAGCGGUGAAAUGCGUAGAUAUAGGAAGGAACACCAGUGGCGAAGGCGACCACCUGGACUGAUACUGAC